RNAcentral lists this ribosomal RNA (602 nucleotides) under uncultured eukaryote. RNAcentral's name for it is "SSU rRNA". It matches the Rfam family "Eukaryotic small subunit ribosomal RNA", at positions 663 to 1272 of the family's 1831-position model. The record is from RNAcentral.
GCCUAAUGGGUCCCAUCUGGUUGACUCUCUCUUGUUUGUGGAUCCUGCCAGCAGUUAACUCUGUUGGUGUGGAGUCCACAUCGUUUACCUUGAAAAAAUUAGAGUGUUCAAAGCAGGCGUUUGCUUGAAUAUAUUAGCAUGGAACAAUGGAAUAGGACGCUGGUUCUAUUUUGUUGGUUUUGAGAACCAGAGUAAUGAUUAAUAGGGACAGUUGGGGGCAUUCAUAUUUCAUUGUCAGAGGUGAAAUUCUUGGAUUUAUGAAAGAUGAACUUCUGCGAAAGCAUUUGCCAAGGAUGUUUUCAUUAAUCAAGAACGAAAGUUAGGGGAUCGAAGACGAUCAGAUACCGUCGUAGUCUUAACCAUAAACUAUGCCGACUAGGGAUUGGGCGUGGUUUGUUCAUUGACCCGCUCAGCACCUUACGAGAAAUCAAAGUCUUUGGGUUCCGGGGGGAGUAUGGUCGCAAGGCUGAAACUUAAAGGAAUUGACGGAGGGGCACCACCAGGAGUGGAGCCUGCGGCUUAACUUGACUCAACACGGGAAAACUUACCAGGUCCAGACAUAGUAAGGAUUGACAGAUUGAGAGCUCUUUCUUGAUUCUAUG